RNAcentral lists this ribosomal RNA (601 nucleotides) under uncultured bacterium. RNAcentral describes it as "bacterial SSU rRNA". The stretch from base 1 to 519 matches the Rfam family "Bacterial small subunit ribosomal RNA", at positions 338 to 873 of the family's 1533-position model. The record is from RNAcentral.
CCUACGGGAGGCAGCAGUAGGGAAUCUUGCGCAAUGGGCGAAAGCCUGACGCAGCCAUGCCGCGUGAAUGAUGAAGGCCUUAGGAUUGUAAAAUUCUUUCACCGGGGACGAUAAUGACGGUACCCGGAGAAGAAGCCCCGGCUAACUUCGUGCCAGCAGCCGCGGUAAUACGAAGGGGGCUAGCGUUGCUCGGAAUUACUGGGCGUAAAGGGAGCGUAGGCGGAUAGUUUAGUCAGAGGUGAAAGCCCAGGGCUCAACCUUGGAACUGCCUUUGAUACUGGCUAUCUUGAGUAUGGGAGAGGUGAGUGGAACUCCGAGUGUAGAGGUGAAAUUCGUAGAUAUUCGGAAGAACACCAGUGGCGAAGGCGACUCACUGGCCCAUUACUGACGCUGAGGCUCGAAAGCGUGGGGAGCAAACAGGAUUAGAUACCCUGGUAGUCCACGCCGUAAACGAUGAGUGCUAGUUGUCGGCAUGCAUGCAUGUCGGUUGACGCGACGCUACGCAUAGCGACGUCCGCCGUCGGGAGGUACGGUCGGCGAAGAGUUAAACGUUACGAAGUAAGUUAGACGGCGNGAGAGNGCGAGCGACGACGAGGAGAGG